Molecule: ribosomal RNA, 1610 nt
Filed under: Gavia immer (great northern loon)
Lineage: Eukaryota; Metazoa; Chordata; Aves; Gaviiformes; Gaviidae
Description: 16S ribosomal RNA
Rfam family: Bacterial large subunit ribosomal RNA
Source: RNAcentral
AGCCCAACUCUAGCCCAACCAUAUUACUAAUAGAGCACACCAAAAAAAUCCACUCCACCACCAAAUUAAAACAUUUUUUCCACAACUUAGUAUAGGCGAUAGAAAAGAUACUUUGGCGCUAUAGAGAUAUUUGUACCGCAAGGGAAAGAUGAAAUAACAAUGAAAAACUCAAGCAACAAAUAGCAAAGAUAGCCCUUGUACCUUUUGCAUCAUGAUUUAGCAAGAACCACCAAGCAAAAUGAAUUUUAGCUUGCCACCCCGAAACCUGAGCGAGCUACUUACAAGCAGCUAUCCUAGAGCGAACCCGUCUCUGUUGCAAAAGAGUGGGAAGACUUGCCAGUAGAGGUGAAAAGCCUACCGAGCCAGGUGAUAGCUGGUUGCCUGUGAAACGAAUCUAAGUUCCCUCUUAAUUUUCCUCUACGGACCCCACCCAACCCCCAACGUAGUGAAUCAAGAGCUAUUUAAAGGGGGUACAGCCCCUUUAAAGAAGGACACGCCUUCCCUAGCGGAUAACUUACCCAACCCCACCCCCUAAACUUGUAGGCCCUUAAGCAGCCAUCAGCAAAGAGUGCGUCAAAGCUCCACACCCCAAAAAUCUGAAGACUGUACGACUCCCUUACCACCAACAGGCCAACCUAUAACAAUAGAAGGAUUAAUGCUAAAAUAAGUAACUAGGGCCUCUCACCCUCUCAGGCGCAACGUUACAUGAUUCCAUUAUUAACAGGCUAACUAAUACCGCAACUUUGACAAGACAAAAUAUUGAACCCGUCCUGUUAACCCAACUCAGGAGCGCCCAUAAGAAAGAUUUAAAUCUGCAGAAGGAACUAGGCAAACCCAAGGCCCGACUGUUUACCAAAAACAUAGCCUUCAGCCAACCAAGUAUUGAAGGUGAUGCCUGCCCAGUGACCCCACGUUCAACGGCCGCGGUAUCCUAACCGUGCGAAGGUAGCGCAAUCAAUUGUCCCAUAAAUCGAGACUUGUAUGAAUGGCUAAACGAGGUCUUAACUGUCUCCUGUAGAUAAUCAGUGAAAUUGAUCUUCCUGUGCAAAAGCAGGAAUAGGCACAUAAGACGAGAAGACCCUGUGGAACUUAAAAAUCAGCGGCCACCACACAUUUAACUCCUAAGCCUACUAGGCCCGCACACCCCCUCCAAACACUGGCCCGCAUUUUUCGGUUGGGGCGACCUUGGAGAAAAACGAAUCCUCCAAAAAUAAGACCACACCUCUUAACCAAGAGCAACAUCUCAACGUACCAACAGUAACCAGACCCAGCACAAGCCUGACUAAUGGACCAAGCUACCCCAGGGAUAACAGCGCAAUCUCCUUCAAGAGCCCAUAUCGACGAGGAGGUUUACGACCUCGAUGUUGGAUCAGGACAUCCUAAUGGUGCAGCCGCUAUUAAGGGUUCGUUUGUUCAACGAUUAACAGUCCUACGUGAUAUGAGUUCAGACCGGAGCAAUCCAGGUCGGUUUCUAUCUAUGACGAACUUUUCCUACUACGAAAGGACCGGAAAAGUAGAGCCAAUACUACAAGCAUGCCCUCCCUCUAAGCAGUGAAUCCAACUAAACUGCCAAAAGGACACCCACAACCCCUACAUCCUAGAAAAGGACC